GUAGGGAAUAUUGGACAAUGGGGGGAACCCUGAUCCAGCCAUGCCGCGUGUGUGAAGAAGGCCUUUUGGUUGUAAAGCACUUUAAGCGAGGAGGAGGCUACCGAGAUUAAUACUAUUGGAUAGUGGACGUUACUCGCAGAAUAAGCACCGGCUAACUCUGUGCCAGCAGCCGCGGUAAUACAGAGGGUGCAAGCGUUAAUCGGAUUUACUGGGCGUAAAGCGCGCGUAGGUGGCCAAUUAAGUCAAAUGUGAAAUCCCCGAGCUUAACUUGGGAAUUGCAUUCGAUACUGGUUGGCUAGAGUAUGGGAGAGGAUGGUAGAAUUCCAGGUGUAGCGGUGAAAUGCGUAGAGAUCUGGAGGAAUACCGAUGGCGAAGGCAGCCAUCUGGCCUAAUACUGACACUGAGGUGCGAAAGCAUGGGGAGCAAACAGGAUUAGAAACCCUGGUAGUCC
Molecule: ribosomal RNA, 451 nt
Filed under: uncultured bacterium
Lineage: Bacteria
Description: partial 16S ribosomal RNA
Rfam family: Bacterial small subunit ribosomal RNA
Source: RNAcentral